GUGAGCUUAGCUCAAUUGGUAGGGACAUGCAUUGUUAUAUGCAGGGGUCGGGGUUCGAACCCCGGACACCCCACU
This 75-nucleotide transfer RNA is filed under the name Medicago truncatula (barrel medic). RNAcentral describes it as "tRNA-OTHER". Lineage: Eukaryota; Viridiplantae; Streptophyta; Magnoliopsida; Fabales; Fabaceae. The record is from RNAcentral.